This 104-nucleotide non-coding RNA is filed under the name uncultured Gemmiger sp. RNAcentral's name for it is "THF riboswitch". It matches the Rfam family "THF (Tetrahydrofolate) riboswitch aptamer". From Rfam's summary of the family: THF riboswitch presents a pseudoknot that joins P1-P2 and the loop of P3 and two THF binding. Lineage: Bacteria; Bacillati; Bacillota; Clostridia; Eubacteriales; Oscillospiraceae. The record is from RNAcentral.
GCAGAGUAGGGGACUGCGCGUUUAGUGCCUGACCAACGGGGAGUUGUGGCAGGACGAAGUGGCCGCAUCAGGCGGCCCGCGGUGCGGCCCCCGCAUCCCACUGC